CCUACGGGGGGCAGCAGUGGGGAAUCUUGCGCAAUGGGCGAAAGCCUGACGCAGCCAUGCCGCGUGAAUGAUGAAGGUCUUAGGAUUGUAAAAUUCUUUCACCGGGGACGAUAAUGACGGUACCCGGAGAAGAAGCCCCGGCUAACUUCGUGCCAGCAGCCGCGGUAAUACGAAGGGGGCUAGCGUUGCUCGGAAUUACUGGGCGUAAAGGGCGCGUAGGCGGACAUUUAAGUCAGGGGUGAAAUCCCAGAGCUGAACGCUGGAAAUGCCUUGGAGACGGGGUGUGUUGAGUGUGAGAGAGGUAUGUGGAACUCCGAGGGGAGAGGUGAAAUGAGUAGAUAUGAGGAAGAACAAAAGUGGAGAAGGCGAAAUAGAGGAUAAUUACUGACGCUGAGGCGCGAAAGCGUGGGGAGCAAACAGGAUUAGAUACCCGUGUAGUC
RNAcentral lists this ribosomal RNA (440 nucleotides) under uncultured Brevundimonas sp. Its description in RNAcentral is "bacterial SSU rRNA". It matches the Rfam family "Bacterial small subunit ribosomal RNA", at positions 338 to 795 of the family's 1533-position model. Lineage: Bacteria; Pseudomonadati; Pseudomonadota; Alphaproteobacteria; Caulobacterales; Caulobacteraceae. The record is from RNAcentral.